AGGCCGUGAUGGGGACACUUGCGUAAUAGCUCCUUGAACCUUUCCCAAGUUUCAUAUAAGGAUUCCCCGUCCUCUUGUGAGUAUGUAUUAAUCUCAGUCAUUAAUUU
Molecule: small nucleolar RNA, 107 nt
Filed under: Helianthus annuus (common sunflower)
Lineage: Eukaryota; Viridiplantae; Streptophyta; Magnoliopsida; Asterales; Asteraceae
Description: Plant small nucleolar RNA R71
Rfam family: Plant small nucleolar RNA R71
About the family: R71 is a member of the C/D box family of snoRNAs containing the C (UGAUGA) and D (CUGA) box motifs. Multiple nearly identical copies of this snoRNA have been identified in Arabidopsis, and it is thought to function as a 2'-O-ribose methylation guide for 18S ribosomal RNA.
Source: RNAcentral